UAUAAUAUAGUGUAAUUGGCACAAGAGGUUUUGAUACUCUUAGUAAAACUUAAUUUUUAUUAUAA
RNAcentral lists this transfer RNA (65 nucleotides) under Myzostoma seymourcollegiorum. RNAcentral's name for it is "tRNA-Gln". The record is from RNAcentral. Lineage: Eukaryota; Metazoa; Annelida; Myzostomida; Myzostomatidae.